UACGUAGGGCGCAAGCGUUGUCCGGAAUCAUUGGGCGUAAAGCGCGCGUAGGCGGCCCUGUAAGUCCGUUGUGAAAGUCAAAGGCUCAACCUUUGAAAGCCGAUGGAUACUGCAGGGCUAGAGUCCGGAAGAGGCGAGUGGAAUUCCUGGUGUAGCGGUGGAAUGCGCAGAUAUCAGGAGGAACACCAAUAGCGAAGGCAGCUCGCUGGGACGGUACUGACGCUAAGGCGCGAAAGCGUGGGGAGCGAACAGG
This 253-nucleotide ribosomal RNA is filed under the name uncultured bacterium. RNAcentral describes it as "partial 16S ribosomal RNA". It matches the Rfam family "Bacterial small subunit ribosomal RNA", at positions 524 to 776 of the family's 1533-position model. The record is from RNAcentral.